AUUAAGAGGCUUUGCUCAAUUACAAGAAGAAGAAAAAAUGCUUGUCGACGGGAAACUCGU
RNAcentral lists this small RNA (60 nucleotides) under Arabidopsis thaliana (thale cress). RNAcentral describes it as "ATSL076920". The record is from RNAcentral. Lineage: Eukaryota; Viridiplantae; Streptophyta; Magnoliopsida; Brassicales; Brassicaceae.